RNAcentral lists this transfer RNA (72 nucleotides) under Candidatus Martarchaeota archaeon. Its description in RNAcentral is "tRNA-Ala". It matches the Rfam family "tRNA". Rfam says of the family: Transfer RNA (tRNA) molecules are approximately 80 nucleotides in length. Their secondary structure includes four short double-helical elements and three loops (D, anti-codon, and T loops). RNAcentral also lists the same sequence under 3 other names. The record is from RNAcentral. Lineage: Archaea; Thermoproteati; Thermoproteota.
GGGCUCGUGGCUCAGUAGUGGAGCGCCUGCUUUGCAAGCAGGAGGCCGCGGGUGCGAUUCCCGCCGAGUCCA